This 482-nucleotide ribosomal RNA is filed under the name uncultured bacterium. RNAcentral's name for it is "partial 16S ribosomal RNA". It matches the Rfam family "Bacterial small subunit ribosomal RNA", at positions 30 to 507 of the family's 1533-position model. The record is from RNAcentral.
AUUGAACGCUGGCGGCAUGCCUUACACAUGCAAGUCGAACGGUAACGGGCCUUCGGGUGCCGACGAGUGGCGAACGGGUGAGUAAUACAUCGGAACGUGCCCGAUCGUGGGGGAUAACGAGGCGAAAGCUUUGCUAAUACCGCAUACGAUCUACGGAUGAAAGCAGGGGACCGCAAGGCCUUGCGCGGACGGAGCGGCCGAUGGCAGAUUAGGUAGUUGGUGGGAUAAAAGCUUACCAAGCCGACGAUCUGUAGCUGGUCUGAGAGGAUGAUCAGCCACACUGGGACCGAGACACGGCCCAGACUCCUACGGGAGGCAGCAGUGGGGAAUUUUGGACAAUGGGCGCAAGCCUGAUCCAGCCAUGCCGCGUGCAGGAUGAAGGCCUUCGGGUUGUAAACUGCUUUUGUACGGAACGAAAAGCCUUCUUUUAAUACAGGAGGGUCAUGACGGUACCGGAAGAAUAAGCACCGGCUAACUACGUG